This 254-nucleotide ribosomal RNA is filed under the name uncultured bacterium. RNAcentral's name for it is "partial 16S ribosomal RNA". It matches the Rfam family "Bacterial small subunit ribosomal RNA", at positions 524 to 776 of the family's 1533-position model. The record is from RNAcentral.
UACGUAGGGUGCGAGCGUUGUCCGGAAUUAUUGGGCGUAAAGAGCUCGUAGGCGGUGUGUCGCGUCGGCCGUGAAAACCUGGGGCUCAACUCUGGGCGUGCGGUCGAUACGGGCAUCACUUGAGUUCGGUAGGGGAGACUGGAAUUCCUGGUGUAGCGGUGAAAUGCGCAGAUAUCAGGAGGAACACCGGUGGCGAAGGCGGGUCUCUGGGCCGAUACUGACGCUGAGGAGCGAAAGCGUGGGGAGCGAACAGG